RNAcentral lists this ribosomal RNA (206 nucleotides) under Bos indicus (zebu cattle). RNAcentral's name for it is "partial 16S ribosomal RNA". It matches the Rfam family "Bacterial large subunit ribosomal RNA", at positions 2563 to 2830 of the family's 2925-position model. Lineage: Eukaryota; Metazoa; Chordata; Mammalia; Artiodactyla; Bovidae. The record is from RNAcentral.
UAUCAAAGGUUCGUUUGUUCAACGAUUAAAGUCCUACGUGAUCUGAGUUCAGACCGGAGUAAUCCAGGUCGGUUUCUAUCUAUUACGUAUUUCUCCCAGUACGAAAGGACAAGAGAAAUAAGGCCAACUUUAAAUUAAGCGCCUUAAGACAACCAAUGACAGCAUCUCAAUCAACAACACAAAACCCUGCCCUAGAACAGGGCUUA